GAUGAAGAACGCAGCGAAAUGCGAUACGUAAUGUGAAUUGCAGAAUUCAGUGAAUCAUCGAGUCUUUGUACGCACAUUGCGCCCCCUGGUAUUCCGGGGGGCAUGCCUGUCCGAGCGUCAUUGCUGCCCUCAAGCACGGCUUGUGUGUUGGGCCUCCGUCCUCCUCCCGGGGGACGGGCCCGAAAGGCAGCGGCGGCACCGCGUCCGGUCCUCGAGCGUAUGGGGCUUCGUCACCCGCUCUUGUAGGCCCGGCCGGCGCUUGCCGACACAUCAAUCUUUUUUCCAGGUUGACCUCGGAUCAGGUAGGGAUACCCGCUGAACUUAAGCAUAUCAAUAAGCGGAGGA
Molecule: unclassified non-coding RNA, 345 nt
Filed under: soil metagenome
Description: partial contains 5.8S ribosomal RNA, internal transcribed spacer 2, and large subunit ribosomal RNA
Rfam family: 5.8S ribosomal RNA (bases 1-120)
Source: RNAcentral